UACGUAGGUGGCGAGCGUUGUCCGGAUUUAUUGGGCGUAAAGGGCGCGCAGGUGGUGCGGUAAGACUGCCGUGAAAUCUCCUGGCUCAACUGGGAGGGUGCGGUGGAGACUGCCGGACUAGAGGCACUCAGAGGCCGGUGGAAUUCCCGGUGUAGUGGUGAAAUGCGUAGAGAUCGGGAGGAACACCAGUGGCGAAGGCGGCCGGCUGGGGGUGACCUGACGCUGAGGCGCGAAAGCGUGGGGAGCGAACCGG
This 253-nucleotide ribosomal RNA is filed under the name uncultured bacterium. RNAcentral describes it as "partial 16S ribosomal RNA". It matches the Rfam family "Bacterial small subunit ribosomal RNA", at positions 524 to 776 of the family's 1533-position model. The record is from RNAcentral.